RNAcentral lists this ribosomal RNA (946 nucleotides) under Klebsiella pneumoniae. Its description in RNAcentral is "bacterial SSU rRNA". It matches the Rfam family "Bacterial small subunit ribosomal RNA", at positions 45 to 973 of the family's 1533-position model. Lineage: Bacteria; Pseudomonadati; Pseudomonadota; Gammaproteobacteria; Enterobacterales; Enterobacteriaceae. The record is from RNAcentral.
GGCNNNAACCACAAUGGGCAAAGGUCGGAGGCGGUAGCACAGAGAGCUUGCUCUCGGGUGACGAGCGGCGGACGGGUGAGUAAUGUCUGGGAAACUGCCUGAUGGAGGGGGAUAACUACUGGAAACGGUAGCUAAUACCGCAUAAUGUCGCAAGACCAAAGUGGGGGACCUUCGGGCCUCAUGCCAUCAGAUGUGCCCAGAUGGGAUUAGCUAGUAGGUGGGGUAACGGCUCACCUAGGCGACGAUCCCUAGCUGGUCUGAGAGGAUGACCAGCCACACUGGAACUGAGACACGGUCCAGACUCCUACGGGAGGCAGCAGUGGGGAAUAUUGCACAAUGGGCGCAAGCCUGAUGCAGCCAUGCCGCGUGUGUGAAGAAGGCCUUCGGGUUGUAAAGCACUUUCAGCGGGGAGGAAGGCGUUAAGGUUAAUAACCUUGGCGAUUGACGUUACCCGCAGAAGAAGCACCGGCUAACUCCGUGCCAGCAGCCGCGGUAAUACGGAGGGUGCAAGCGUUAAUCGGAAUUACUGGGCGUAAAGCGCACGCAGGCGGUCUGUCAAGUCGGAUGUGAAAUCCCCGGGCUCAACCUGGGAACUGCAUUCGAAACUGGCAGGCUAGAGUCUUGUAGAGGGGGGUAGAAUUCCAGGUGUAGCGGUGAAAUGCGUAGAGAUCUGGAGGAAUACCGGUGGCGAAGGCGGCCCCCUGGACAAAGACUGACGCUCAGGUGCGAAAGCGUGGGGAGCAAACAGGAUUAGAUACCCUGGUAGUCCACGCCGUAAACGAUGUCGAUUUGGAGGUUGUGCCCUUGAGGCGUGGCUUCCGGAGCUAACGCGUUAAAUCGACCGCCUGGGGAGUACGGCCGCAAGGUUAAAACUCAAAUGAAUUGACGGGGGCCCGCACAAGCGGUGGAGCAUGUGGUUUAAUUCGAUGCAACGCGAAGAACCUUA